UUCGCAAUGCCCGAAAGGGUGACGAAGCGACGCCGCGUGGGUGAGGAAGGCCUUCGGGUUGUAAAGCCCUGUCAGGAGUUAAGAAAUGUAAGUGCGCUAAUAUCGCAUUUAUUUGACAAAGGCUCCAAAGGAAGCCACGGCUAACUCUGUGCCAGCAGCCGCGGUAAUACAGAGGUGGCAAGCGUUGUUCGGAAUUAUUGGGCGUAAAGAGCACGUAGGUGGGUUUGUAAGUCAGAUGUGAAAGCCUUCUGUUCAACGGGAGAAUUGCAUCUGAAACUACAAACCUUGAGUAUAGGAGGGGAGAAUGGAACUUCUGGUGGAGCGGUGAAAUGCGUAGAUAUCAGAAGGAACGUCGGCGGCGAAAGCGACUCUCUGGCCUAUUACUGACACUGAGUGUGCGAAAGUUAGGGGAGCAAACGGGAUUAGAUACCCCGGUAGUCCUAACUGUAAACGAUGGGCACUAAGUAGAGGGGUUUU
This 477-nucleotide ribosomal RNA is filed under the name uncultured anaerobic ammonium-oxidizing bacterium. RNAcentral describes it as "bacterial SSU rRNA". It matches the Rfam family "Bacterial small subunit ribosomal RNA", at positions 365 to 832 of the family's 1533-position model. The record is from RNAcentral.